GACAGAGGGUGCAAACGUUGUUCGGAAUUACUGGGCGUAAAGCGCGUGUAGGCAGCUCGGAAAGUCGGAUGUGAAAGCCCUGGGCUCAACCUAGGAAGUGCAUUCGAAACUUCCGAGCUGGAGUGCUGGAGAGGAAGGCGGAAUUCCCGGUGUAGAGGUGAAAUUCGUAGAUAUCGGGAGGAACACCAGUGGCGAAGGCGGUCGUCUGGGCAGAUACUGACGCUGAGGUGCGAAAGCGUGGGGAGCAAACAGG
RNAcentral lists this ribosomal RNA (253 nucleotides) under uncultured bacterium. Its description in RNAcentral is "partial 16S ribosomal RNA". It matches the Rfam family "Bacterial small subunit ribosomal RNA", at positions 524 to 776 of the family's 1533-position model. The record is from RNAcentral.